AUAGGGAGAGAUAAUAGAGGCCAAGGAGACAGACUUCCCAAGUCAUAGGGAGAGAUAAUAGAGGCCAAGGAGACAGACUUCCCAAGUCAUAGGGAGAGAUAAUAGAAGCCAAGGAGACAGACUUCCCAAGCCAUAGGGAGAGGUAAUAGAGGCCUAGGAGACAGACUUCCCAAGCCAUAGGGAGAGGUAAUAGAGGCCUAGGAGACAGACUUCCCAAGCCAUAAGGAGAGGUAAUAGAGGCCUAGGAGACAGACUUCCCAAGCCAUAGGGAGAGAUAAUAGAGGCCUAGGAGAGACUUCCCAAGCCAUAGGGAGAGAUAAUAGAGGCCUAGGAGAGACUUCCCAAGCCAUAGGGAGAGGUAAUAGAGGCCUAGGAGAGACUUCCCAAGCCAUAGGGAGAGGUAAUAGGGGCCUAGGGAACAGACGACACUAAUCCUCAGCAUG
Molecule: long non-coding RNA, 443 nt
Organism: Oncorhynchus keta (chum salmon)
Lineage: Eukaryota; Metazoa; Chordata; Actinopteri; Salmoniformes; Salmonidae
Exons: 4
Source: RefSeq, a predicted model, not a curated record